RNAcentral lists this long non-coding RNA (895 nucleotides) under Homo sapiens (human). RNAcentral describes it as "HSALNT0321151". Lineage: Eukaryota; Metazoa; Chordata; Mammalia; Primates; Hominidae. The record is from RNAcentral.
GUUUGUUAAAUGUGGCAAAUACAUUAUUUUCCUUUUUAGGUUAGCACUUUAUAUUUUCUAAGAAAACCUUACAUAUUUUUGGUACUGCUCUUUUUUUUUUUUUUUUUUUUUUUUGAGGCGGAAUCUCUCUCGCCCAGGCUGGAGUGCAGUGGCGCGAUCUCAGCUCACUGCAAGCUCCGCCUCCCGGGUUCACGCCAUUCUCCCGCCUCAGCCUCCCUCAGCGUCCGGAGUAGCUAGGACUACAGGCGCCCGCUACCACGCCCGGCUAAUUUUUUUGUAGUUUUAGUAGAGACGGGGUUUCACCGUGUUAGCCAGGAUGGUCUCCAUCUCCUGACCUCGUGAUCCGCCCGCCUCGGCCUCCCAAAGCGUUGGGAUUACAGGAGUGAGCCACCGCGCCCGGCCGCAGAUUCUUGAAGAAACUGCUCUCAUAAGCUAAGGUUCCUUAUGAUUCUGCAAGGAAGAGAAGACUAAAGCAAAUCACUGUCUGAAAACAUAACAGCUGGCUAAAGUCACAGUGUCCAUGUAACUAACUCCUGGUUAAGAGGAUAUGGAUAGAAGGCACAUGUUCAACUUCUGGCUUCUGUCCUUGAAAAGUGUGAUGAUUCCAUCCUUUGCUGUCUUCCUUCCCGCUGACUGGAAUGUGGACUUGGUAGUGAGCUACCUUGGACUAUGUGGAUGAAGACAAAGAUAAAAGGAACCAAGGACUCUGAUGAUUCUGUAGAGAAGAGGAACCGUAGCUGCUCAAACGUUCAUGUGAAAGAAGAAUAAACUAUCAGAUUUAAGCCACUGCUAUUUUGGGUCUUUGUGAUAAACAGUGUUUACCAUAUCCUAAUUCACUAUUCCUUCCAUUUCUAGGUCAACCAUGUUGAAUUAAAUAUAGUGCUCUAACUUGCAA